GAUGAACGCUGGCGGCGUGCCUAAUACAUGCAAGUCGAGCGAACAGACGAGGAGCUUGCUCCUCUGACGUUAGCGGCGGACGGGUGAGUAACACGUGGAUAACCUACCUUUAAGACUGGGAUAACUUCGGGAAACCGGAGCUAAUACCGGAUAAUAUAUUGAACCGCAUGGUUCAAUAGUGAAAGACGGUUUUGCUGUCACUUAUAGAUGGAUCCGCGCCGCAUUAGCUAGUUGGUAAGGUAACGGCUUACCAAGGCAACGAUGCGUAGCCGACCUGAGAGGGUGAUCGGCCACACUGGAACUGAGACACGGUCCAGACUCCUACGGGAGGCAGCAGUAGGGAAUCUUCCGCAAUGGGCGAAAGCCUGACGGAGCAACGCCGCGUGAGUGAUGAAGGUCUUCGGAUCGUAAAACUCUGUUAUUAGGAAAGAACAAAUGUGUAAGUAACUAUGCACGUCUUGACGGUACCUAAUCAGAAAGCCACGGCUAACUACGUG
This 497-nucleotide ribosomal RNA is filed under the name uncultured bacterium. RNAcentral's name for it is "partial 16S ribosomal RNA". It matches the Rfam family "Bacterial small subunit ribosomal RNA", at positions 28 to 507 of the family's 1533-position model. The record is from RNAcentral.